CCUGAUGGCUCAGAGAGUAAAGAAUCUGCCUGCAAUGCAGGAGACCCAGGUUUGAUCCCUGGGUCAGGA
Molecule: transfer RNA, 69 nt
Filed under: Bos taurus (domestic cattle)
Lineage: Eukaryota; Metazoa; Chordata; Mammalia; Artiodactyla; Bovidae
Also listed under: 5 other names
Rfam family: tRNA
About the family: Transfer RNA (tRNA) molecules are approximately 80 nucleotides in length. Their secondary structure includes four short double-helical elements and three loops (D, anti-codon, and T loops). Further hydrogen bonds mediate the characteristic L-shaped molecular structure. tRNAs have two regions of fundamental functional importance: the anti-codon, which is responsible for specific mRNA codon recognition, and the 3' end, to which the tRNAs corresponding amino acid is attached (by aminoacyl-tRNA synthetases). tRNAs cope with the degeneracy of the genetic code in two manners: having more than one tRNA (with a specific anti-codon) for a particular amino acid; and 'wobble' base-pairing, i.e. permitting non-standard base-pairing at the 3rd anti-codon position.
Source: Rfam by way of RNAcentral